This 469-nucleotide ribosomal RNA is filed under the name uncultured bacterium. Its description in RNAcentral is "bacterial SSU rRNA". It matches the Rfam family "Bacterial small subunit ribosomal RNA", at positions 355 to 825 of the family's 1533-position model. The record is from RNAcentral.
UCAAGAAACUUCCACAAUGGGCGCAAGCCUGAUCCAGCCAUGCCGCGUGCAGGAUGACGGUCCUAUGGAUUGUAAACUGCUUUUUGUACAGGAAGAAACAGUUCUACGUGUAGAACCUUGACGGUACUGUAAGAAUAAGGAUCGGCUAACUCCGUGCCAGCAGCCGCGGUAAUACGGAGGAUUCCAAGCGUUAUCCGGAAUCAUUGGGUUUAAAGGGUCCGUAGGCGGUUAGAUAAGUCAGUGGUGAAAGCCCAUCGCUCAACGGUGGAACGGCCAUUGAUACUGUCUGACUUGAAUUAUUAGGAAGUAACUAGAAUAUGUAGUGUAGCGGUGAAAUGCUUAGAGAUUACAUGGAAUACCAAUUGCGAAGGCAGGUUACUACUAAUGGAUUGACGCUGAUGGACGAAAGCGUGGGUAGCGAACAGGAUUAGAUACCCCCGUAGUCCCUGAGCGGGCUGGCAAGGCGCAU